CCUACGGGGGGCAGCAGUGGGGGAUAUUGCACAAUGGGGGGAACCCUGAUGCAGCGACGCCGCGUGGGUGAAGGAGUGCUUCGGCAUGUAAAGCCCUAUCGGCAGGGAAGAAGCAAGACGGUACCUGACUAAGAAGCCCCGGCUAACUACGUGCCAGCAGCCGCGGUAUUACGUAGGGGGCGAGCGUUAUCCGGAUUCACUGGGUGUAAGGGGAGCGUAGACGGCCAAGCAAGCCAGGGGUGAAAGCCCGGGGCCCAACCCCGGGACUGCCCUUGGAACUGCAUGGCUGGAGUGCGGGAGGGGCAGGCGGAAUUCCGGGUGUAGCGGUGAAAGGCGUAGAUAUCAGGAGGAACACCGGCGGCGAAGGCGGCCUGCUGGACCGCGACUGACGUUGAGGCUCGAAAGCGUGGGGAGCGAACAGGAUUAGAUACCCUAGUAGUA
RNAcentral lists this ribosomal RNA (441 nucleotides) under uncultured bacterium. RNAcentral describes it as "partial 16S ribosomal RNA". It matches the Rfam family "Bacterial small subunit ribosomal RNA", at positions 338 to 795 of the family's 1533-position model. The record is from RNAcentral.